CAAUAGCGUAUAUUAAAGUUGUUGCGGUAAAAAAGCUCGUAGUUGGAUUUCUGUUGAGAGCGACCGGUCCAUACCAUGUAUGCGUAUCUGGCUUGCUCUCGGCAUCCUCUCGAUAGACGUUACUGCGCUUGAUUGCGUGGUGCGGAUCUCGGGACUUUUACUUUGAGGAAAUUAGAGUGUUCACGGCAGGCUUUCGCCAGAAUACAUUAGCAUGGAAUGAUACUAUAGGAUCUUGGUUCUAUUUUGUUGGUUUCUAGAAUUGAGAUAAUGAUUAAUAGGGACAAUUGGGGGCAUUCGUAUCAACACGUCAGAGGUGGAAUUCUUGGAUUGUGUUGCGACGAACUACUGCGAAAGCAUUUGCCAAGGAUGUUUUCAUUGA
RNAcentral lists this ribosomal RNA (379 nucleotides) under uncultured eukaryote. RNAcentral's name for it is "partial 18S ribosomal RNA". It matches the Rfam family "Eukaryotic small subunit ribosomal RNA", at positions 592 to 976 of the family's 1831-position model. The record is from RNAcentral.